GUACAAUCUAGGGGCUAAGCUGACCAGUGGUUAUCCUACUCAGAUGAUGUGAGGAUUAAUUGGAUGGUGUCCGUGCUGUCUGCUAGAAAGACAGAAAGUGUGAAGUGUCAUCUGGAUGGGUUUGCUGUUGUCAAAGAAAGCUCCAAAGAAAAUUGAGCUUGUGAACUGACUGAACUGCAAAUUGAAGAAUCCUCUUUGUACAACUCCAUGUCAAGAAUGUGUUUACAGACUGGCCUACAGCUCUGAACUUUGACAUGUGAGUGCAGGGAUUCAGAAUAUCUGAAGGCCACCAUGCAGUGCGGUGACAGGACUGAAGUCCUUAGCAGAAACACCUGGAUUGAAUGUGCAGCAGGACUUCAGUCAACA
Erinaceus europaeus (western European hedgehog) is the source of this 366-nucleotide long non-coding RNA. RefSeq lists it as uncharacterized. The record is from RefSeq and is a predicted model, not a curated record. The transcript is spliced from 3 exons. NCBI's taxonomy places the organism in Eukaryota, Metazoa, Chordata, Mammalia, Eulipotyphla, Erinaceidae.